This 253-nucleotide ribosomal RNA is filed under the name uncultured bacterium. Its description in RNAcentral is "partial 16S ribosomal RNA". It matches the Rfam family "Bacterial small subunit ribosomal RNA", at positions 524 to 776 of the family's 1533-position model. The record is from RNAcentral.
UACGAAGGAUGCGAGCGUUAUCCGGAUUUACUGGGUUUAAAGGGUGUGUAGGCGGACUUUUAAGUCAGCGGUGAAAUCUCCGGGCUCAACCCGGAAACUGCCAUUGAUACUAUUGGUCUUGAAUGUUGUUGAGGUGGGCGGAACGGGUCAUGUAGCGGUGAAAUGCAUAGAUAUGACCCGGAACACCGAUUGCGAAGGCAGCCCACUAAGCAACGAUUGACGCUGAGGCACGAAAGCGUGGGGAUCAAACAGG